CGUUCUAUGGCCGAAUUGGUAAAGGCAUCGCCGAUCACAGGCGACGUAGCGGGUUCGAGUCCCGCUGGAACGA
Molecule: transfer RNA, 73 nt
Filed under: Operophtera brumata (winter moth)
Lineage: Eukaryota; Metazoa; Arthropoda; Insecta; Lepidoptera; Geometridae
Rfam family: tRNA
About the family: Transfer RNA (tRNA) molecules are approximately 80 nucleotides in length. Their secondary structure includes four short double-helical elements and three loops (D, anti-codon, and T loops). Further hydrogen bonds mediate the characteristic L-shaped molecular structure. tRNAs have two regions of fundamental functional importance: the anti-codon, which is responsible for specific mRNA codon recognition, and the 3' end, to which the tRNAs corresponding amino acid is attached (by aminoacyl-tRNA synthetases). tRNAs cope with the degeneracy of the genetic code in two manners: having more than one tRNA (with a specific anti-codon) for a particular amino acid; and 'wobble' base-pairing, i.e. permitting non-standard base-pairing at the 3rd anti-codon position.
Source: Rfam by way of RNAcentral